Molecule: ribosomal RNA, 253 nt
Filed under: uncultured bacterium
Lineage: Bacteria
Description: partial 16S ribosomal RNA
Rfam family: Bacterial small subunit ribosomal RNA
Source: RNAcentral
UACGGGGGGGGCAAGCGUUGUUCGGAAUUACUGGGCGUAAAGGGCUCGUAGGUGGCCAACUAAGUCAGACGUGAAAUCCCUCGGCUUAACCGGGGAACUGCGUCUGAUACUGGAUGGCUUGAGUUCGGGAGAGGGAUGCAGAAUUCCAGGUGUAGCGGUGAAAUGCGUAGAUAUCUGGAGGAAUACCGGUGGCGAAGGCGGCAUCCUGGACCGACAUUGACGCUGAGGAGCGAAAGCCAGGGGAGCAAACGGG